GAUGAAGAACGUAGCGAAAUGCGAUAAGUAAUGCGAAUUGCAGAAUCCGUGAGUCAUCGAAUCUUUGAACGCACAUUGCGCCCUCUGGUAUUCCGGAGGGCAUGCCUGUUCGAGCGUCAUUAUCACCCCUCAAGCCCGGCUUGUUGUUGGAUGCAGCGCUUAUCCCGCUCCUCCCAAAGAUAAUGACGGCGUCUGCGACGACUCCUGUACACUGAGCUUUCGGGCACGUACACGGCUAGAAGUCCAGACCCGGUCGCCGUCCCCACCGCGGGGACACCCAUUACCACAAGGUUGACCUCGGAUCAGGUAGGAAUACCCGCUGAACUUAAGCAUAUCAAUAAGCGGAGGA
This 349-nucleotide unclassified non-coding RNA is filed under the name soil metagenome. RNAcentral describes it as "partial contains 5.8S ribosomal RNA, internal transcribed spacer 2, and large subunit ribosomal RNA". The stretch from base 1 to 119 matches the Rfam family "5.8S ribosomal RNA", at positions 35 to 154 of the family's 154-position model. The record is from RNAcentral.